This is a non-coding RNA of Notechis scutatus (mainland tiger snake), 781 nucleotides long. NCBI's taxonomy places the organism in Eukaryota, Metazoa, Chordata, Lepidosauria, Squamata, Elapidae. The record is from RefSeq and is a predicted model, not a curated record.
CUUCCGCUACAGGAACGCCUCAAGCGACGCCGGGAGCCGAAGAAACCGGUUUUUAAGCCCAGGUGAACUUCCUGGGGCCGGAGCGCUUGGCGAAAGGAAGGGCUCUUGCCUCCGUGGGCCGGAUGUUUUCACAACAGGUGUUUGUACAUGGGGUGGGGUUGACCCAAAAGAGAAUCAGGAACUGGAAGGGGCCGCGAAUCGGGAAGAAAGCAGAAGAAUGCCAGCAAAGCGAGGCGAGACGCUUUGCUGCAGCAGAAAAUGUUUGUUUUGGCAGGUGAACUUUACUAAUCUUUGAAUAGUUACAUAGGAUAAACCUGUCUGACUUCUGAUAAAUAGAAGUCUGACAACCCACGGGUAGAAACUGUUCUUCAGCCUGUUGGUGUGGCUGGCUAUGCUUCUUUAUCUCCUACCCUGUGGGAGGAGAGUGAAGAAUUGCUGACACAGUUAUAGAAGAUAGGGGAUCAAUGCGCUGGAAAGAAAAGAAAAAAGCACCCCAACUUGAAAUCAAGCUGUACUAGAUGAAAGAAGCUGAUUAAUGAUGGAAGAAAUUUAUGGGGAUUUCAAUCAGGGAAGCUUAUGGGUGUAACACAUGAAGAUGACUUGACUUGGUGGUUGUGGAUAAUCUUGUUCCAUGUCCACUUUUCACACAUAUGGAAUAAAUGGGAUACACCCCUAUUCAAAGUCCCCCAGGCUUUCUUCUGCUUUGUAAUUUACUCUUAAAAGAUUCUUGUUUCUAAGGGAGUAUAAUCCCACCGCACAUGUAUGGCACAGUGGGGGUUAG